RNAcentral lists this long non-coding RNA (709 nucleotides) under Struthio camelus australis. RNAcentral's name for it is "lncRNA (ENSSCUG00000016435.1)". Lineage: Eukaryota; Metazoa; Chordata; Aves; Struthioniformes; Struthionidae. The record is from RNAcentral.
CAUGUCUCAGGGGUGGGAGGAAGACGUUGUCUCCCUGAGCAGUUGAGAAGAGAGAUCGCAUUGCUGGCAGGGCACCGAGGUCUGUGCUGGAAGAAAAACUUUGCAGAGAGCAACAGGCUUGAGCUGGCUUCAACCCACCUACUCUUCCCCAGCGACGGGGGAAACCCAGCAUCGCGGCGGGGAGCGCGUCGUGCAGACCGGAUCAACCCCCGACUGCCUUCUCCAGGGACACCCGCUCUGUGCUGAGCCGCUCGCGUGCCGUCCCCGAGGUCAGCCGAGUCGAGCAGAAACUCAGCGCGCACACCGGAUAAUCCACGGCACCGGCUCCCACGGUCUGGUAAAAAUAGACACCAUUUUUUAUUUUUGCACCAGCUAUUUCAGAUACAGUUGCUGCAUUUCAAAGAGGAAAUAUUGCUCCAAACUCUGCAUUAACACCUAUCAGCGUAAUUUCGCAUGGCAAGUUAAGGAAGCAAAGCAGCACUUCACGUGCUCCCUGAUUUUGUAGCGGUGUGUGCCAAGGGCUUACAGCUGGCUCAGGCCUAUGCAAACCCUCCGGCCACCGCCACGCUGCGCUGGAGAAUGCCUUCCAGUCCGUCCCUGCAAAUGGGCCAGGCCUGGGAUAAAACAGGAAGGGAAAAACGCGUAGCGAUUGCAGCAACGGCGCCUGCUUACGGGGGUCUCCGGGCCGCGACGUGGCAGCACCGCGGGG